Molecule: ribosomal RNA, 497 nt
Filed under: uncultured bacterium
Lineage: Bacteria
Description: partial 16S ribosomal RNA
Rfam family: Bacterial small subunit ribosomal RNA
Source: RNAcentral
GAUGAACGCUGGCGGCGUGCCUAAUACAUGCAAGUCGAGCGAACAGACGAGGAGCUUGCUCCUCUGACGUUAGCGGCGGACGGGUGAGUAACACGUGGAUAACCUACCUAUAAGACUGGGAUAACUUCGGGAAACCGGAGCUAAUACCGGAUAAUAUAUUGAACCGCAGGGUUCAAUAGUGAAAGACGGUUUUGCUGUCACUUAUAGAUGGAUCCGCGCCGGAUUAGCUAGUUGGUAAGGUAACGGCUUACGAAGGCAACGAUGCGUAGCCGAACUGAGAGGGUGAUCGGCCACACUGGAACUGAGACACGGUCCAGACUCCUACGGGAGGGAGCAGAAGGGAAUCUUACGCAAUGGGCGAAAGCCUGACGGAGCAACGCCGCGUGAGUGAUGUAGGUCUUCGGAUCGUAAAACUCUGUUAUUAGGGAAGAACAAAUGUGUAAGUAACUAUGCACGUCUUGACGGUACCUAAUCAGAAAGCCACGGCUAACUACGUG